CCUCAUUGCAUUUUCUCGUCUUCUUGAUUCUUAGUUGAGAAUUUAUCAACCCUAAUAUCUUGAAGCCAAUGAGUGCUAAUGUUCAUCUCUAUUUUAUUGUUUGUUCUUAUUAUUGUUUCUCUAAUGAAUCGUGGGCUAUUAAAUUAUAUAGUAUGGGCUUUAUUUCCCAAUUCUCCAAUUGGGUUUUAUCUGAAUCCAUCUAAUUUCUUCUUCAUUUUCUUUCUU
This 225-nucleotide long non-coding RNA is filed under the name Carica papaya (papaya). RNAcentral's name for it is "long non-coding RNA (CPAP_LNC015593)". The record is from RNAcentral. Lineage: Eukaryota; Viridiplantae; Streptophyta; Magnoliopsida; Brassicales; Caricaceae.